Molecule: ribosomal RNA, 558 nt
Filed under: unidentified
Description: Steinernema sp. eALN10.1_TH partial large subunit ribosomal RNA
Rfam family: Eukaryotic large subunit ribosomal RNA
Source: RNAcentral
CAAGUACCGUGAGGGAAAGUUGCAAAGUACUUUGAAGAGAGAGUUCAAGAGGACGUGAAACCGAUAGGAUGGAAGCAGAUGAAGUUGACGAACGAGUGUCGUAUUCAGGGUUGCAUCUUGUGUGCAGUCUGUUCUUGCGGCCGAUGUGGGCCGGCGGCCUUGGUCAAUGCACUGUGUCAAGCGUCGAUGGUGACCCUGCGGAGGGAUAAUCAGUCGGCUGGCGAUGCGUGGUAUGGCUAAGGUUUCGCCGGUCUUGAAGUCAGCGCCUCAUCUGACCCGUCUUGAAACACGGACCAAGGAGUGUAGCGUUUACGCGAGUCUUAGAGUGUGUCAAAACUUUGAGGCGCAACGAAAGUGAAUGUAGUUUAAUCUACUGACUUGGGAUGCGUUGUCUCCUGUGGACGGCGCUGGACCAAGGUUAUAUCGAGAUCGCUUGCGAUUCGGUGUAAAUAGAGCGUAAGCGGUGCGACCCGAAAGAUGGUGAACUAUGCCUGAGCAGGAUGAAGCCGGAGGAAACUCUGGUGGAAGUCCGAAGCGGUUCUGACGUGCAAAUCGAUC